Molecule: ribosomal RNA, 501 nt
Filed under: uncultured bacterium
Lineage: Bacteria
Description: partial 16S ribosomal RNA
Rfam family: Bacterial small subunit ribosomal RNA
Source: RNAcentral
AUUGAACGCUGGCGGCAUGCCUUACACAUGCAAGUCGAACGGCAGCACGGGUGCUUGCACCUGGUGGCGAGUGGCGAACGGGUGAGUAAUACAUCGGAACGUACCUUAUUGUGGGGGAUAACGCAGCGAAAGUUGCGCUAAUACCGCAUACGCCCUGAGGGGGAAAGCGGGGGACCGUAAGGCCUCGCGCGAUUAGAGCGGCCGAUGUCUGAUUAGCUUGUUGGUGAGGUAAAAGCUCACCAAGGCGAUGAUCAGUAGCUGGUCUGAGAGGACGAUCAGCCACACUGGGACUGAGACACGGCCCAGACUCCUACGGGAGGCAGCAGUGGGGAAUUUUGGACAAUGGGGGCAACCCUGAUCCAGCAAUGCCGCGUGAGUGAAGAAGGCCUUCGGGUUGUAAAGCUCUUUUGUCAGGGAAGAAACAGCAGCUCUAACACAGUCUGCGAAUGACGGUACCUGAAGAAUAAGCACCGGCUAACUACGUGCCAGCAGCCGCCGCCG